AUUGAACGCUGGCGGCAGGCCUAACACAUGCAAGUCGAACGGCAGCACAGAAGAGCUUGCUCUUUGGGUGGCGAGUGGCGGACGGGUGAGUAACACGUAGGAAUCUACCCAGUAGUGGGGGAUAACCUGGGGAAACCCAGGCUAAUACCGCAUACGCCCUGAGGGGGAAAGCGGGGGAUCUUCGGACCUCGCGCUAUUGGAUGAGCCUGCGUCGGAUUAGCUAGUUGGUGGGGUAAGGGCCCACCAAGGCGACGAUCCGUAGCUGGUCUGAGAGGAUGACCAGUCACACCGGAACUGAGACACGGUCCGGACUCCUACGGGAGGCAGCAGUGGGGAAUAUUGGACAAUGGGCGCAAGCCUGAUCCAGCCAUGCCGCGUGGGUGAAGAAGGCCUCGGUU
This 398-nucleotide ribosomal RNA is filed under the name uncultured bacterium. Its description in RNAcentral is "bacterial SSU rRNA". It matches the Rfam family "Bacterial small subunit ribosomal RNA", at positions 29 to 424 of the family's 1533-position model. The record is from RNAcentral.